AACGAACGCUGGCGGCAUACCUAACACAUGCAAGUCGAACGAGACCUUCGGGUCUAGUGGCGCACGGGUGCGUAACGCGUGGGAACCUGCCCUUAGGUUCGGAAUAACUCCCCGAAAGGGGUGCUAAUACCGGAUAAUAUCUUCGGACCAAAGAUUUAUCGCCUUUGGAUGGGCCCGCGUUGGAUUAGCUAGUUGGUAGGGUAAAAGCCUACCAAGGCGACGAUCCAUAGCUGGUCUGAGAGGAUGAUCAGCCACACUGGGACUGAGACACGGCCCAGACUCCUACGGGAGGCAGCAGUGGGGAAUAUUGGACAAUGGGCGAAAGCCUGAUCCAGCAAUGCCGCGUGAGUGAUGAAGGCCUUAGGGUUGUAAAGCUCUUUUACCCGGGAUGAUAAUGACAGUACCGGGAGAAUAAGCGCCGGCUAACUCCGUG
This 433-nucleotide ribosomal RNA is filed under the name uncultured bacterium. RNAcentral's name for it is "partial 16S ribosomal RNA". It matches the Rfam family "Bacterial small subunit ribosomal RNA", at positions 29 to 507 of the family's 1533-position model. The record is from RNAcentral.